UCUGUGUCUGUCUCCAAAAAUCCUGCUACAGAGAUCUUUGCAAAUAUCUUUGCUUGUUGUGUAUUCAUAGAAGAGCAAGUCACCUGCUCACAGACUGACCUCUGGAAAGCAUGGUGAUGAGAACACGGCAAGUUAGCUGGAAAGGAAUGACAGACUUCACUUCUUUGGGGAUAAGAAACCAUGCAUAGUACUGGACAAAGCCGAUUUUGCAGCAAGACAGAGAAGGAAUGAUAACUCAGAAGAUGGUGGCAGAAGAUAUCAAGGAGCCAUGGAAAAGAACAGCGAGCAGCAGAGUGCACAGGAUCGAGGCUUUAAUUUUCAAAGUGCUGCAUUUGUCCCACAAAACGGCAACAAUCCAGACUGCAGGACAGAGACUUGAAAUCUAGCUUGAUCUUCAGAGAGAAGAACAAAGAUGAACAUAGAUGCACCUUUGAAUCUCAUCAGGCUGCUCAUGGGUCUGACCCUACUCCACAAGGCAGCAUUAACAGUAUUGCAGCAGACAUGUCUGUGGAAGAAUCCUCCGAGAAAACAAGUCUUGCAGCUCAUGUGCUUGCUGGCAGGCAGUGGCCUGGAGAGCUGCAGUGCUGCCUCCAGCUGGAGCUACGGAUCUGUGUGUCAGCUCAGGCAAGGCAUGUCUUUUCCUUAUGAUCUUUCUCCCUUAGUUUUGGGGCUAGCAAUGCUAAAGUUUGAAACAGCAGAAUAAAACAUCAACACACAAUGCUGUUAUACUGUUAUACACUGUUUCCCUUAGUGGUUGUAUGCUGCUGACUUUUUAAGUUAUGCCUCCAAUG
Molecule: long non-coding RNA, 791 nt
Organism: Hirundo rustica (Barn swallow)
Lineage: Eukaryota; Metazoa; Chordata; Aves; Passeriformes; Hirundinidae
Exons: 3
Source: RefSeq, a predicted model, not a curated record